Cervus elaphus (red deer) is the source of this 128-nucleotide long non-coding RNA. RefSeq lists it as uncharacterized. Lineage: Eukaryota; Metazoa; Chordata; Mammalia; Artiodactyla; Cervidae. The record is from RefSeq and is a predicted model, not a curated record. The transcript is spliced from 3 exons.
CCCUCAUAUUAAGCCCGAAUGGUACUUCCUAUUUGCAUAUGCAAUUCUACGAUCAAUUCCCAAUAAACUAGGAGGGGUUCUAGCCCUAAUCUUCUCUAUCUUAAUCUGGUUUCCUCAUUCCUUUUCUU